GGCAGGGGCGGCAGGCCUAACACAUGCAAAGUCGAGCGGAUGACGGGAGCUUGCUCCUUGAUUCAGCGGCGGACGGGUGAGUAAUGCCUAGGAAUCUGCCUGGUAGUGGGGGACAACGUUUCGAAAGGAACGCUAAUACCGCAUACGUCCUACGGGAGAAAGCAGGGGACCUUCGGGCCUUGCGCUAUCAGAUGAGCCUAGGUCGGAUUAGCUAGUUGGUGGGGUAAUGGCUCACCAAGGCGACGAUCCGUAACUGGUCUGAGAGGAUGAUCAGUCACACUGGAACUGAGACACGGUCCAGACUCCUACGGGAGGCAGCAGUGGGGAAUAUUGGACAAUGGGCGAAAGCCUGAUCCAGCCAUGCCGCGUGUGUGAAGAAGGUCUUCGGAUUGUAAAGCACUUUAAGUUGGGAGGAAGGGCAGUAAGUUAAUACCUUGCUGUUUUGACGUUACCGACAGAAUAAGCACCGGCUAACUCUGUGCCAGCAGCCGCGGUAAUACAGAGGGUGCAAGCGUUAAUCGGAAUUACUGGGCGUAAAGCGCGCGUAGGUGGUUUGUUAAGUUGGAUGUGAAAGCCCCGGGCUCAACCUGGGAACUGCAUCCAAAACUGGCAAGCUAGAGUACGGUAGAGGGUGGUGGAAUUUCCUGUGUAGCGGUGAAAUGCGUAGAUAUAGGAAGGAACAUCAGUGGCGAAGGCGACCACCUGGACUGAUACUGACACUGAGGUGCGAAAGCGUGGGGAGCAAACAGGAUUAGAUACCCUGGUAGUCCACGCCGUAAACGAUGUCAACUAGCCGUUGGAAUCCUUUGAGAUUUUAGUGGCGCAGCUAACGCAUUAAGUUGACCGCCUGGGGAGUACGGCCGCAAGGUUAAAACUCAAAUGAAUUGUCGGGGCCUGCACAAGCGGUGGAGCAUGUGUUAAUUCUAAGCAACGCGUACAACCUUAUCAGGCCUUGACAUGCAGAGAACUUUCCAGAGAUGAAUGGUGCUCUCGGCACUCCUGACACAUGUGCUGGCAUGGCUGU
This 1024-nucleotide ribosomal RNA is filed under the name Pseudomonas sp. RNAcentral's name for it is "bacterial SSU rRNA". It matches the Rfam family "Bacterial small subunit ribosomal RNA", at positions 34 to 1052 of the family's 1533-position model. Lineage: Bacteria; Pseudomonadati; Pseudomonadota; Gammaproteobacteria; Pseudomonadales; Pseudomonadaceae. The record is from RNAcentral.